This 440-nucleotide ribosomal RNA is filed under the name uncultured bacterium. RNAcentral's name for it is "partial 16S ribosomal RNA". It matches the Rfam family "Bacterial small subunit ribosomal RNA", at positions 338 to 795 of the family's 1533-position model. The record is from RNAcentral.
CCUACGGGAGGCAGCAGUGGGGAAUAUUGCACAAUGGGGGAAACCCUGAUGCAGCGACGCCGCGUGAGUGAAGAAGUAAUUCGUUAUGUAAAGCUCUAUCAGCAGGGAAGAAAAUGACGGUACCUGAGCAAGAAGCGCCGGCUAACUACGUGCCAGCAGCCGCGGUAAUACGGAGGGGGCAAGCGUUAUCCGGAUUUACUGGGUGUAAAGGGAGCGUAGACGGCAGUGCAAGUCUGGAGUGAAAGGCGGGGGCUCAACCCCCGGACUGCACUGGAAACUGUACGGCUGGAGUGCAGGAGAGGUAAGUGGAAUUCCUGGUGUAGCGGUGAAAUGCGUAGAUAUUAAGAGGAACACCAGUGGCGAAGGCGGCUUACUGGACUGUAACUGACGUUGAGGCUCGAAGGCGUGGGGAGCAAACAGGAUUAGAUACCCCUGUAGUC